CUACGGGGCGCUGCAGUGAGGAAUAUUGCACAAUGGGGGGAACCCUGAUGCAGCAACGCCGCGUGGAGGAUGACGCAUUUCGGUGUGUAAACUCCUUUUAUAUGUCAAGAAAAUGACGGUAGCAUAUGAAUAAGCACCGGCUAACUCCGUGCCAGCAGCCGCGGUAAUACGGAGGGUGCAAGCGUUACUCGGAAUCACUGGGCGUAAAGGACGCGUAGGCGGGUUGGAAAGUCAGGUGUGAAAUCCUACAGCUUAACUGUAGAACUGCACUUGAAACUUCUAAGCUAGAGUAUGGGAGGGGAGAUGGAAUUAGUGGUGUAGGGGUAAGAUCCGUAGAUAUCACUAGGAAUACCUAAAGCGAAGGCGAUCUCCUGGAACAUUACUGACGCUAAGGCGUGAAAGCGUGGGGAGCAAACAGGAUUAGAUACCCUUGUAGUC
This 438-nucleotide ribosomal RNA is filed under the name uncultured bacterium. RNAcentral describes it as "partial 16S ribosomal RNA". It matches the Rfam family "Bacterial small subunit ribosomal RNA", at positions 339 to 795 of the family's 1533-position model. The record is from RNAcentral.